This 1058-nucleotide long non-coding RNA is filed under the name Homo sapiens (human). RNAcentral's name for it is "long intergenic non-protein coding RNA 2364". Lineage: Eukaryota; Metazoa; Chordata; Mammalia; Primates; Hominidae. The record is from RNAcentral.
UGAGUGGGACUUAGAACAAGAAAAGGCUCUGAAACAGAUCCAAGAUGUUGUUUGAGCCAUGCAACUAGAAGAUCUCAUAGAACUAAAGUUAUCUAAUUUACAGAAAAGGUUUUACGUGACGUCUAUUGUACAGAUUCAUAUGAAAACCAUAGUUCAAACUCCAAGGUUUAAGAAGUAAGAAAGAUCAUGCCAUUUGCAACAAACAUGCAUGCAUAUUUGAAAAGCAACUGUAAGUAUGCUAUUGGACAUUGGUAAAGAUUGAAUAUCUGACCAUGGCAUAUCAAGAAACCAUGGAAUGAGUACUGCUUAUCAAGAUCUGGGUGUGAGAAGACUUAAAAAGUCAGAUAGUCAGUGAGAACCAGCUAGAAUCCAUGUGAAAAAGUGGGAAGAUGAAGUGUUUGGAGGGCUUUUAAAUGGAGUAAAAUGGAAACAAAGACAAGUUAUCCCAACACCAAAAAGAGUAGGGGAUAGAAGGAUAUGUCAAGGUUUGAAAACCAUCCUUCAGAAAUGCAGGAAAGUCAAAGCUAGAAAUCUGUUGUGGGAAAACUAGAAGACCAAAAAAAGCACGAAAGUCAAGAAAGAAGUCUCUUUUCACAUGAAAGUGGCCUGAAGACAAAUACUGCUAUGAAUGGUUACAUCUAGGACUUCUGAAAUUAGCCCCAGAUUCAACUCAUUUUUUUCUGCAUUUGCUGAGCAAUAUGACAUGUUUACACCGAUUAGCUAAAAAGUUAUGUGAAGAAUGGGCAACAAUAUCUCUAAGUAACUAGGAGACCAUGUCCCUUGGCAUAAGUAUUGAUCUUCAAUAAUUUGUCCUUGAUAUUGAGAGAAGAGGAUCAAACUAUUUGAACCGGAUUGCUGUACUUCAACAUGUAAAGUGAAAAUGCAGACCCAGUUGACUAUAUUUCACUCAUUUGGGCCAAAGAAGCAGAAGUUUAUUAACAAAGAAGGAGAAUAACAAAAGAAAUAUAAGAUGGAAAGAAAAGCAAAAAGAAAGAAAACUAAAGAAAAAGCAAAAGAAAGAAUACUAAAUCUGAAAUACAUUUUCGUCCCCAAAUCAA